This 77-nucleotide transfer RNA is filed under the name Candidatus Omnitrophota bacterium. RNAcentral describes it as "tRNA-Cys". It matches the Rfam family "tRNA". Rfam says of the family: Transfer RNA (tRNA) molecules are approximately 80 nucleotides in length. Their secondary structure includes four short double-helical elements and three loops (D, anti-codon, and T loops). Further hydrogen bonds mediate the characteristic L-shaped molecular structure. tRNAs have two regions of fundamental functional importance: the anti-codon, which is responsible for specific mRNA codon recognition, and the 3' end, to which the tRNAs corresponding amino acid is attached (by aminoacyl-tRNA synthetases). tRNAs cope with the degeneracy of the genetic code in two manners: having more than one tRNA (with a specific anti-codon) for a particular amino acid; and 'wobble' base-pairing, i.e. permitting non-standard base-pairing at the 3rd anti-codon position. Lineage: Bacteria; Pseudomonadati; Candidatus Omnitrophota. The record is from RNAcentral.
GGCGGGAUAGCCAAAUUGGAUAAGGCAGCAGAUUGCAAAUCUGCCAUGUUGGGGUUCGAGUCCCCAUCCCGCCUCCA